This 256-nucleotide ribosomal RNA is filed under the name uncultured bacterium. RNAcentral's name for it is "partial 16S ribosomal RNA". It matches the Rfam family "Bacterial small subunit ribosomal RNA", at positions 1245 to 1500 of the family's 1533-position model. The record is from RNAcentral.
AGUCGCAAGCUCGCGAGAGUAAGCUAAUCUCUUAAAGCCGUUCUCAGUUCGGACUGUAGGCUGCAACUCGCCUACACGAAGUCGGAAUCGCUAGUAAUCGCGGAUCAGCAUGCCGCGGUGAAUACGUUCCCGGGCCUUGUACACACCGCCCGUCACACCAUGGGAGUCGGGAAUGCCCGAAGCCGGUGGCCCAAUCGAAAGAAGGGAGCCGUCGAAGGCAGGCCGGAUGACUGGGGUGAAGUCGUAACAAGGUAAC